Molecule: ribosomal RNA, 301 nt
Filed under: uncultured bacterium
Lineage: Bacteria
Description: partial 16S ribosomal RNA
Rfam family: Bacterial small subunit ribosomal RNA
Source: RNAcentral
CAGCCGCCGCGGUAAUGCGAAGGGUGCAAGCGUUAAUCGGAAUUACUGGGCGUAAAGCGUGCGCAGGCGGUGUUGUAAGACUGAUGUGAAAUCCCCGGGCUCAACCUGGGAACUGCAUUGGUGACUGCAACGCUGGAGUGCGGCAGAGGGGGAUGGAAUUCCGCGUGUAGCAGUGAAAUGCGUAGAUAUGCGGAGGAACACCGAUGGCGAAGGCAAUCCCCUGGGCCUGCACUGACGCUCAUGCACGAAAGCGUGGGGAGCAAACAGGAUUAGAUACCCCCGUAGUCCCUGUCUCUUAUAC